Molecule: small RNA, 520 nt
Filed under: Pongo abelii (Sumatran orangutan)
Lineage: Eukaryota; Metazoa; Chordata; Mammalia; Primates; Hominidae
Description: retained intron
Source: RNAcentral
AGCCCUGUCAAACAAGUCAAAAGGCUGGUGCCCCAGAAGCAGGCGAGCAUGGCUAAGAAAAAAAAGCUGGAAAAAGAACAAGAGGAAAUAAGAGUCUGAGUGGUCCGCAGGAGGAGCAGCCAGGCUUGCUUUCCAGGAUGGGCACUGGGAGGGCCACGCCACUGGUCUGGAGCUGAGCUCUCUCCCUGACCCCAAUCCCACCCCUGCUCCGCUCCACCCUGUUGCAGAGCCAGCGUUAGAGACAAGAGCCCUGCGAAAAAGGCCAAAGCCACAGCCAGAGCCAAGAAGCCAGGAUUCAAGAAAUGAGGAGCCACGCCUUGAGGGGCACGGUGCAAAGUGGGCCUUCCUUGGGCUGUGCUACGGGCACAGGGUGCCCCUGUCCAACACCUCCAUCUGUGUCUGAAUGUGACAGGGGUGUUGCGGGGGCAACAUGAGAGCCCCUCACCCCCAACUCUCCGCUCUCAGGAGGCCCCCAGUGAAGGGCCCCACCUCGGGGUCACAAUAAAGUUGCCUGGUCAGG